RNAcentral lists this ribosomal RNA (580 nucleotides) under Thraustochytriidae sp. ANACC TC_015. RNAcentral's name for it is "bacterial SSU rRNA". It matches the Rfam family "Eukaryotic small subunit ribosomal RNA", at positions 416 to 1018 of the family's 1831-position model. Lineage: Eukaryota; Bigyra; Thraustochytrida; Thraustochytriidae. The record is from RNAcentral.
CCAAGGAAGGCAGCAGGCGCGUAAAUUACCCAAUGUGGACUCCACGAGGUAGUGACGAGAAAUAUCAAUGCGGGGCGCUUCGCGUCUUGCUAUUGGAAUGAGAGCAAUGUAAAACCCUCAUCGAGGAUCAACUGGAGGGCAAGUCUGGUGCCAGCAGCCGCGGUAAUUCCAGCUCCAGAAGCGUAUGCUAAAGUUGUUGCAGUUAAAAAGCUCGUAGUUGAAUUUCUGGUGUGGGAGCCCAGGCCUCGGUGCGAAUGCGCCUUGUCUUGCCUUGCGGCUCCUUUGCCAUCCUCGUUUUUCUUUUGAAGAACGUCAUUCACUGUAAUCAAAGCAGAGUGUUCCAAGCAGGCCGUAGGGCCGGUAUGUUUAUUAUGGGAUGAUCAGAUAGGACUCGGGUGCUAUUUUGUUGGUUUGCACAUCUGAGUAAUGAUUAAUAGGAACAGUCGGGGGUAUCCGUAUUUAGGAGCUAGAGGUGAAAUUCUUGGAUUUCCGAAAGACGAACUACAGCGAAGGCAUUUACCAAGCAUGUUUUCAUUAAUCAAGAACGAAAGUCUGGGGAUCGAAGAUGAUUAGAUACCAU